RNAcentral lists this ribosomal RNA (482 nucleotides) under uncultured bacterium. RNAcentral's name for it is "partial 16S ribosomal RNA". It matches the Rfam family "Bacterial small subunit ribosomal RNA", at positions 30 to 507 of the family's 1533-position model. The record is from RNAcentral.
AUUGAACGCUGGCGGCAUGCUUUACACAUGCAAGUCGAACGGUAACAGGCCGCAAGGUGCUGACGAGUGGCGCACGGGUGAGUAAUGCAUCGGAACGUGCCCAGUCGUGGGGGAUAACUACUCGAAAGAGUAGCUAAUACCGCAUACGAUCUAUGGAUGAAAGCGGGGGACCGUAGGGCCUCGCGCGAUUGGAGCGGCCGAUGUCAGAUUAGGUAGUUGGUGGGGUAAAGGCUCACCAAGCCAACGAUCUGUAGCUGGUCUGAGAGGACGACCAGCCACACUGGGACUGAGACACGGCCCAGACUCCUACGGGAGGCAGCAGUGGGGAAUUUUGGACAAUGGGCGCAAGCCUGAUCCAGCAAUGCCGCGUGCAGGAAGAAGGCCUUCGGGUUGUAAACUGCUUUUGUACGGAACGAAACGGCUCUGGUUAAUACCCGGGGCUAAUGACGGUACCGUAAGAAUAAGCACCGGCUAACUACGUG